UAAUCCGGUUGCAACCAGGAAC
RNAcentral lists this small nuclear RNA (22 nucleotides) under Arabidopsis thaliana (thale cress). RNAcentral describes it as "snRNA_07260". The record is from RNAcentral. Lineage: Eukaryota; Viridiplantae; Streptophyta; Magnoliopsida; Brassicales; Brassicaceae.